AAACAAAUGCAUAAAUGUUCCUAGAACUCAGCAAAUUGUUUCAGAGAGGAAUCUGCCCAUUAUCAAAACAAUUGAAAAACAAUCCUCUGUUUCCCUUCCUCCCCACUGAAUUAAUUGGAAAAAAAAACACCUCUACUUCUGUAGUUCCCCGAAACCUUGGGAGUUAAAGCUGGUAGAAAUAAUUAGAAGCUCUCCAGUUUUACAAAGCUACUCACCCCUCAUACAGCAUUGCGAUUGUGUAGGAAAUUGCCACUACAGCUGUCAGCAAAAGGCCAGCUGGGCUUGCAUGCCUGUUUUGAAAGAGAAGGAAAAGAUCAGGAGAAACGAGGUUGCUCGACGCAGGUGAUGAGAAGCAUUUGGGUCUGACCAGAACCAGAUGGCAGACACAUUCCUCCAGCAUCCCUCCCGCUGCCACGGAGCUGGGGCGUUAGCUCUGGCCUCCGAGGGCAGAUACCUAACAUCUUCUGAAAGCCCU
Harpia harpyja (harpy eagle) is the source of this 475-nucleotide long non-coding RNA. RefSeq lists it as uncharacterized. Lineage: Eukaryota; Metazoa; Chordata; Aves; Accipitriformes; Accipitridae. The transcript is spliced from 3 exons. The record is from RefSeq and is a predicted model, not a curated record.